This 809-nucleotide long non-coding RNA is filed under the name Theobroma cacao (cacao). RNAcentral describes it as "long non-coding RNA (TCAC_LNC004633)". Lineage: Eukaryota; Viridiplantae; Streptophyta; Magnoliopsida; Malvales; Malvaceae. The record is from RNAcentral.
UCAUUUCUCUUGGUUGGCCAAAGGAAGAAAAGGGAAGAAAAGAAGAAGAACAAAACCCUAGCUAAGAAAUUCAAGGGAAAAUCACUAGAUUUCAAGGAAUCAAGACAUCAAAGGUGAAAUUUCUUAACUCUAGCCUGUGAUCUAUCUUUCCUAUGCAUUAUUUUGCAUUUUUCAUGGUUGAAUCACAAGAUAUUAUGAAGGAUAGUGUGCUGAUUAAACCUUAGGAGAGAGAAUUUGAUGAUGAAUUUAGUUAGAAAAUAUGUUAUUCUAGUAUUUUUAGUUGUUUGGUGAUGUGUAGUAUAAAAAGCAAGCAAAAACCAAAUUCAUGUUCUUACAUCACCUUCAUUGGCCGAAUAUUCCAUGUGGAAUAUUGAUGAUGAAUUUGAUUGAAUUUCAAGUGAUUUGACUAGGAAUGAAUGAUUUAUGGUGUGAGAAUCAAGCAUGAAAAAUUAUAUUGUUAGUGCACUCACCAUGGCCGAAUUUUUCAAGAGAAAAUGUGAGGAUGAUUUUGCCACAUUUCAAGUUAUUUAAAUUGUGUUUAAUGAUUUGGAGUAUUGGGAGAGAAAUGGAAUUGUUUGGAGUUGAAUUGGACGUAUUGCCCAAUUAAUCGGGUGAUAGAUCGAAUUAGGCCAAUACCAUUUUAUUUAGGUACAUAAUUGAAUUUAUAUUGAACACCGUAUUUAGAUCGUUACUCGAGUAUUUCUGUAAUACCCCGCACCCUCGUUGGACACAAAUAAGACCUUAUUGAUCAAACGAAUGAUCGUUUGAUGUGAAUUGGCAUGCAAAAAAAUGACAAGGGAUGAAAGGAG